GCCCCCUCAGGAUUGCACCUGGAGAGUUUCCAGUACUCUACCAGUCUCAGCUACGGGAGGAAGAGUUAAGCAGAGGAUAACCAUUCCAUUCCUAGCUUGGGUAGUGGCUAGUGAGUGGAAGGCAAUCUGCUACAAGG
RNAcentral lists this small nucleolar RNA (137 nucleotides) under Ornithorhynchus anatinus (platypus). Lineage: Eukaryota; Metazoa; Chordata; Mammalia; Monotremata; Ornithorhynchidae. The record is from RNAcentral.